GAGGAUGUAGCUCAGUGGUAGAGCACUGACCUAGCAUGUUUGAGAACAUGGGCUCAAUCCCCAGUACCCCA
Molecule: transfer RNA, 71 nt
Filed under: Marmota monax (woodchuck)
Lineage: Eukaryota; Metazoa; Chordata; Mammalia; Rodentia; Sciuridae
Rfam family: tRNA
About the family: Transfer RNA (tRNA) molecules are approximately 80 nucleotides in length. Their secondary structure includes four short double-helical elements and three loops (D, anti-codon, and T loops).
Source: Rfam by way of RNAcentral